AUGGGUGAUGCGGAGUCCGUGGAUGAUUUCGCGGCGAGGUUCACGACGCUCGUGGGGCGCAUCCGUGAGCUUGGUGAUGCGAUGGAGGAGAAAUAUGUCGUGAAGAAGCUUCUCCGAGCCGUCUCCAACAAGUUCAUCCACGUUGCGUCAUCGAUUGCAUUGUUCGGCGACACCAACAAGAUGGCCAUGGAGGAGGCCAUUGGUUCACUCAAGGCGCAUGAGGAGCUCGUCAAGGGGCGGGAGACGACACAUAAAGAAGAGCAGCUCCUCAUGGCGAGAGGGCAUGACUCAUCGCGAGGACGCGGCCGCGGUGGCCGUGGUGGAGGGCGCAGAGACAAGAGCGAGGUACAAUGUUAUAACUGUGAUGACUUUGGACAUUUUGCUUGGGAGUGUCCGGAGAAGAAGAAGGAGAACGAGGAGAAGGCACUGCUGGCCGGCUACGGCAGCGACGGACCGGCUCUCCUAUGA
Molecule: ribosomal RNA, 468 nt
Filed under: Triticum aestivum (bread wheat)
Lineage: Eukaryota; Viridiplantae; Streptophyta; Magnoliopsida; Poales; Poaceae
Description: partial small subunit ribosomal RNA
Source: RNAcentral